Molecule: long non-coding RNA, 1307 nt
Organism: Passer domesticus (house sparrow)
Lineage: Eukaryota; Metazoa; Chordata; Aves; Passeriformes; Passeridae
Exons: 3
Source: RefSeq, a predicted model, not a curated record
UCCGAAAGCAGAAGAGCUCUAAGCUCUCUUGUGAUGAAACAAAAGCUGGCAGAGCACGUGUUGUUAUGUGGCAGGCAGGGAGGCCACUUGAGACACAUUCAGGAGGUCUUCAUGUGAGCAGCAGUGAAGGACACUUGAGAGGCUGAAAGCUGCUGGUGCUGAGCAGCGAAGGCACAGUGCAGCUGCUUCAGUACCAGAGAGCCACAAAUUAAUGUGUGAUGUGAGUUUCAAGGCAGAGGAGAUGAGGAAAUCAAUGACCCAGACAGAAGGAGAGAUAGUGCCAGAUGAAGCCCGAUGACGACAUUUCCAGGCAAUUUGUUCACGCUGCUGGGUUUCUGGCUGGACAUUCACCACACAUCAGGAGCUCAGGCAACAGAGUUGAGUGCAGGGGAAAGACAAAUGGUCAUGCAGACUGGCUGUGUGCUGCAAGGCAUGAAGACAGGACAUGGCAAGUGGAAAAUGAGAUGGGCCAUCUGAGAAGUCUGAUUAGCAUCCUGCUCUUGGACCAAUGUCCUGUUGGGAAGAAUGGAUCCAAACACUUCAACAGCAGGGACAGAGCAGACACAAGCCAGCACAGUAAGAGCAGGCAACUGAGCCCUGCAAUAACCUGAAGAAGAACAGUUUUGGUGCAAGUGAUGCCCAGAUGUGUCGUUCUUCAAGGGAACUGUGUGAUGCAAGGGCUGUUGCUUGUGCAAUAUCUGGGUGGGCUCUACUUAAAAAUGAUGAUGUAGGACUCCAUCAGACUAUAAUCAUAAUCUGAAGGAUUUGUCAUCAUCCUGGAGCUGAUCAAACAGUGGGCAGAAAAGUUUGGGUUCUUUCCUCCAGAAGUACCAUUUUCUGUUGAAAAUGUGUGUUUGUGUGUGUGUUUGGGUGGGAGCCCUUAAACCAGGGUUCAAGAAUUCUCCUGCUUUCACUAGAAACCUCCAGCACUUUUAUCCUCAACAUUUUCCAGAAGUAAAAACCCACAAAGGUUGACAACAACAACAUCUAAUGAGACCCCCCCGGCUGUCUUUCUUCCCUCUUUCACAUUAAGAAUGGGAAAAUAUUGAAAGGUGCUUUCAGGACAGCUGUCCCAUACACAAGGAAUAUAGGACUUAGACAGAGAAAAGACUUGUAAUAUUAUCCCCUGCCUACAUCUGCCUCUCUGGGAAGCACAGAGGUGUCUGUCCAGCUUUCUGUGUCAGAUAACACCAGCUCUAAGGUAGUCAGUCAGAUGCUGGGAUUGGACACUGAAGAGUAAAUAAGCGCUGCAUGAGCUAAUUGCAGUGUGGAGGAGAAGGGAAGGGAAGAUCCUGGCUUCCAGCUGU